AACGCGAAGAACCUUACCAGGCCUUGACAUCCUGAGAAUUCGGUAGAGAUACCUUAGUGCCUUCGGGAACUCAGUGACAGGUGUUGCAUGGCUGUCGUCAGCUCGUGUCGUGAGAUGUUGGGUUAAGUCCCGUAACGAGCGCAACCCUUAUCCUUAUUUGCCAGCACUUCGGGUGGGAACUUUAAGGAGACUGCCGGUGACAAACCGGAGGAAGGAGAGGAUGACGUCAAGUCAUCAUGGCCCUUACGGCCUGGGCUACACACGUGCUACAAUGGACAGUACAGAGGGCCGCAAUACCGCGAGGUGGAGCAAAUCCCAGAAAACUGUUCGUAGUCCGGAUCGGAGUCUGCAACUCGACUCCGUGAAGUCGGAAUCGCUAGUAAUCGCGAAUCAGCAUGUCGCGGUGAAUACGUUCCCGGGUC
RNAcentral lists this ribosomal RNA (422 nucleotides) under uncultured marine bacterium. RNAcentral's name for it is "bacterial SSU rRNA". It matches the Rfam family "Bacterial small subunit ribosomal RNA", at positions 958 to 1380 of the family's 1533-position model. The record is from RNAcentral.